CUAGUCCAUUUAAAAUGGCCCAAUCAUUAGUUUCCGGUUUUGCCCCUGACGGCAAGCUUUUUCCGUUUAAUUUAUUUUCAGAUCUCCUUGCUAUUCUCUAUCUCCCCUAUUUCUUUCUGACAUUCGAAACCUUCCAUUUUUCUUUCUAAGCUCGGAUCGCAACUCCAUCUCUAUCACUAUGCAAAAUCAUAGAUCUGAUCCGACUCCAAACUUAAUUUGAUCCAUCUCCAUCUCUGUCAAAAUCGCAGAUGAUCUCAUACAUGCAAAACUAUGUCACACUCUCUCUCCCAAUAUUUCUAACACUCUCUCCCUUCUGUAAAGAUGAGAAGGGACCUAGACUUUUCACCAACAUCGGCAAAAAAGAGCCAAAGAGACGGUAUGGGUGUCGUGCAAUGAUGCUGGAGACUAUGGCAGCUGUCCCUAGCAUGCUAGGAGGAAUACUGCUAACUUAAGGUUUCUGCUCAAGUUUUAGCAGAGCGGUGGUUGUAAAACCUGCGUGGUGACAAACGUGGAGACAAUUUCUCCUCCUUGGGACUUUGUGGACACUCCUUGUGAUUAUACUUCUUACUGUGGAGGAUGUAAAACACAAAAUUUGAUUUAUGAGGCUCAAGUCAAAGCUAAGGAGCAGCAAGUUCAUCAGUUGAUUAUUAACUUUGGAAAGUUUUCUCACACGGAACUGGAAUUUCUAAGCAUCAUGAAGCCCAUCAGAAAACAUGCUUUUGCCAUAAUGCUUUCCUCUUGUUUUUUAUCACAUCAGAAAACAGUUACUUAAUUUAGCUAACACAACCUACUUGCUAUUUGUCAUUUGACACUUUCAAGAAUCAAAGUAUCAAAGUACUCUAUUUUGGUGUAAGGUAUACAUUUAUGCAUAUUCUUAACUUUACCUGUAAAUUCACUGUAAAAUAAAUUUCUAAGAAUCUGUAAAUCA
Non-coding RNA from Malus domestica (apple), 928 nucleotides. NCBI's taxonomy places the organism in Eukaryota, Viridiplantae, Streptophyta, Magnoliopsida, Rosales, Rosaceae. The record is from RefSeq and is a predicted model, not a curated record.